CGCGGGGUAGAGCAGCCUGGUAGCUCGUCGGGCUCAUAACCCGGAGGCCGCAAGUUCAAAUCUUGCCCCCGCAACCA
This 77-nucleotide transfer RNA is filed under the name Clostridium sp. CAG:288. RNAcentral's name for it is "transfer RNA-Met(CAT)". It matches the Rfam family "tRNA". From Rfam's summary of the family: Transfer RNA (tRNA) molecules are approximately 80 nucleotides in length. The record is from RNAcentral. RNAcentral also lists the same sequence under 1 other name. Lineage: Bacteria; Bacillati; Bacillota; Clostridia; Eubacteriales; Clostridiaceae.